CUUCGACACUCGGGGCAGUGCAACGCCCCCAUCCCCAGCUCGCAUUCGCACAAGCGCCGCGGACAGACGACCUCUGUCGGUCUCUCUAGGAGGUGGGGCUUUUCUGCUCAUAGAUGCUCAUCAUACGCAGAGCAACGCACAGGAAAGUAACCCCACGUACACGAUUGCGCGCAUAGACGCGACGCACACACACUUCUACGCUUCGCUUUAUACUGUGUAUAUUGCCUUCAUCACAGCCCAUAGAUCACGACUGCCUCGUGCUUAUCCUCCUCUUUCUCCAUGCACUGCGACCCCUCCCUCCCACACACACGCGCUUUUCUCGAGCUUCGCCUGCGCACUGCACACAGACAUUGUUUGCAAGCCGCAUCACCUAUUCGCUCGCGGAUUUUUAUUUGUCAGCUGUGGCCCCUACCCGCACCCCUCACCGCUUCGCUCAUUCGCAGCUGGCCAUGGCUGACCGCACACAUCCGCUCCGGUCGCACACAAAGGUCCUCGCGGCCGUGAAGCCGAACCUGGAAACGCGCAAGAAUCACCAGCUUGACCUGAGUGGGCCGCGACGCAGCAACAGCGACGCGGAAGAUCAUCACGGGGAGAACAGAAGUUCGGAAGAGGAUGCGAAGACGACUCGCGAGCCGCAGGAGCACUUGCAUAGCCGCGGCGAAGCACAUGCAGGCUUCAAGCCCCUCUCUUCAUUCUCCUCUGCCGCAGCGAGCGCAGGCCCCACCUGCCUCGUCUCCUUCACGGGUUUCCGUGACGAGGAUGAGUGGGGAGAGAACGGCGAUGAGGGCAACGACGCGUAUGGCAACCCCUUUGCGCACGCCGCAGGCGGUGAUGCGAUACCUUGUGCGGAUUCGCUCUCUGUGUGCACGCAGAUGGUCUCCGUACUGCCAGGGGUUCGGGUCGAAUCGAAGCUGACGAGCUCUACAACCGUCUUGGUGGCUCGGCGCGGCUUCACAAGGAAGCGGCUGCUCGCCGCUCGUCAAGGAAUACCAGUGGUGCUGCCGAAGUGGGUGGCGAUGGGAUGCCCAGCGCUGCCCACCAGCGGUGGCGUUUGUGGUGCCAGCGGGGCUGCCUCUGCCUCCCUCCAUGACCUGUAUGCCGUGCCAUGGCUGUAUGGGUACGCCUUUUCCACAACUGGGCUGUCAACGUCGGAGAAGGCGGCGAUAGACAGCGUGUGCACCGCGCACGGGGCGGUUGUAGAGCCCUCUCUCACGUACAAGUGCGACGUGCUGCUAACUAGCGCGGAGUGCGUGCAGGCACUUCAGCGACUUCUCCGUGCUGACCGAGAAGGUGAUGCGGCACAAAGACGCCUUAACCAGCGCCUACGGCACGCAGCGAUGCAGCGCGCUAACGCGGGGCUGAUGGAAAACUCAGGUCCGGAGAUGGCGCCACCUGGCCGUCGUGGUGGCGCGCCCAAGGCAGCGUGGCUGACCGACAAGGUGCGCUUUGCGCUGGAGCUCGACGUCCCGGUGGUGGACUACGUCAAGCUGUUCACAAUGCUGCGUCUGGACCGCCUGCCUCCGCCGACGUGGACGCACGGCAUAGCAGCGGUGAUGUACAAGUCGAGCACACAGACGCGCCGACCCUGCAACGACGACGCGGAAGACGGCCAACACCAGUACGCGGACGCGCUCGACGGCAGCGACUUCGACGCAAUUCUUGAAGUCUGUCGUGUGGGCUCACCAGCGGGGGGAAGCUCUGAGUGGACGCGCAUCCUCUCCGUCUUCGCCGACCGAGGUGACGCGUCGACAGCCAGCUGCGGUCUCCAGAGCGACGGAGGCGCGGCAGAUAACGGCAAGGAGGGCAGAACGUCCCCCAUCCCACUCGACAGCAUCGCCCUUCGGGGCGACUCUAGGCAGUCCUCCUCGUCCUGCACCGACUCGGCGUCGACGGUGUCCGACCCGGAUGCGUGGGAGGAGCUGCUGGGCUGCGCGCUGGCGUCCUCUCUCGACGAACAGCAGACUCGGCGUGCGGACGCGUACCCAGGUGUUAGCAGCUCGGCUGACGCCAUCAAUGCGGCCGACCAUCUCACGGGUACCACUCCCACGACAGCUACGGCUACGACUGCUACGACUACAAUAUCGCCGGCUUUACAAGCUGGCUUGGAGAGGCUGACAGUGAACACAGCCGAUGUAGAGGACCUCGCUAAUGCAGGCGCGGAGGAGCCGUCGACACUGCAGGUUGUCCUUCCGGACUACUACAGCGCAAACACCGGGCUCGGACUUCCUCCAGGUUCCUCAUCUCAGGGGUGUCAUGCUGGCCAAGAGUUGCUGACGGCGACAGUGGGUGCCAGCUGGGGCACCGCUGCUGUAGACCCGUCGCCUCGGUGGACGACAAACGCCCUCCUUCACCGUGAGCCCGCGCCACCGCGCCAGUCGAGCCGCACCGACGAGCUAAUCGCAUGUGAGCAGCGCGAUGGAGCGGAUGCAGCGGCGCUGGGGCAACGCACCGCUGAGUACUACGCCAUGCAUCGCAGCGCAGAGCGUUUUCCGCCGCAGCUGCCGGCGCGGGAUGCGGUACCGCAACACGCCGCUGCGAUGCGCCCUGACGACAGAGUGGCAGCGUUGUCGCAGACAUUCGCGGGCGGCGGAGAACUACUAGCCGCCACCCAGGAUUUGGUGGAGUCCUGCGUGGCGGCGGAUGAGCUGGACCUGGCAUCCGCGCAGCAGCUCGAUGCUUGCGAAACGAGAGUUCGCGGUGCCACCGCGGCACGCCGAGCUUCGCCGCUGCUCGCAAUGCAUCCGCCGUACCUCACCAUAUGCGUGCUCGGAUGCACCGAGCUGGAGCUGCGCAAGACAGCGCGAUGGUGUGAACAGUGCCGGCUGCUGCGCUCUCCUGUGCCAACAUCCGCCACAGAUAUCGUUCUUCUUGGGAGCCGCCUACUCACCAAGAAGCGGUAUACGAUGCGCCCCGCCGUCGAUUCACGCGACGACGAGAGAGGCACAAAGAGGGGCAAGAAGCGGCGGCCGCAGCGACCCGCACUCCGCCGCAGUGCCUUGUCAACUGGGAGCUUCGGCGCGAAUUGUCACCGUUGCGACCACGCUGGCCAUGGUGUGGCCGUGACCAUACGGUACUGGGAGAUGGACGCCGCGGUGGUGCGGACGCUGGCGGACGUCUGCGGUAUUCCACGGAGCCGCAUGGCCCCGCUCCGGUGGCUCGAGGACGCGGCGUCAGAGGCGCAAAAGGCCUGCGAAACGGCGAAGCUCGCAGCGAAAUCGGAGGCGGCGCAGCGGAGUGCUGCGCAUGGACGGACUGUUGACGGCAAAGGACGCUACACCGACACGUGUUGGACGGCAGUCACCACACCACCCGAAACGCUCGUUGGGCUACUAGAGGAGCACCUUGCGGCAGCGGCAGAGUCCGAGGCGAGUGCAGCACUGGCACGGCGGCCGCUCUUUCACGCGCUCCCGCCGCUCUCGCCCGAUGAACUACCGGACAUGGCAGACCUCAAGUACUACAUACGGGUGCGGCAGGCACCUGCCAUCUCGUGGGCAAGCAGCGCCACCCCCAUAGCGGCACAGGGGCUCCACGGCAUCGCAGCAGCAGCUGCAUCGGCUGGCUUGGAGUCGCGAAAGCAGGUAAAGGACGGCGAGAUGCACUACAGUGCGCGGCCGGAUCUGGGCAACUCUGCGAAGCAGCCGGCGUCCAGCAGCGCACCUGUAGAGGAGGACGACUCGCUGACAGCGGCAACGUCUGUAUCUGUGGUUUCAGUAACUGCACCGGCAUCCUCUAGUGUUCAGCAGCCUCUGCACGAGGAGAAGACUAGCCUCGGCGCCGAGGAUGCGCAGCAUUCCUACAAAGAAGCCUUGGAGACGGCAGUGCGUCGGUUCACUCAGCUCGUCGCGCUCUUCCGUGUCUCAGGCGACGGCGACGAAGCACAAGGGAGUGCCGGCGCUGCCGAGAUCGGCCGUGAAGGACGCGGCACGGUACUCGCGGCAUGCCAUUUCUGCUGCGUUGAAGGCGAGUACGCUCGCGUGGACUGGGCUGUGGUGCGUGGCCUCAUCCGCUACGGCGGCGGCCGAGUUGAGAAGCGAGCCGCACACGACUGGGAAACACUUUGGCAGCAGCAGCCUUCAGUGGCCGUGGCGGCUACAAGCGCUGGUGCGCAGCAGGAUCAGGAAGCGCAGCGCUUCGCGCGCGCGCUGCGCCGUGGCGUCGCGUAUGCAAGGCUCCGGCAAAAGCUGCGUCGUGUGAGGGGAGACGUCGAGACCGCACACCAGACCAGCCGCCAGGCCCGUGACAAAAUGCCCUCUGGGUGCAACGGCGCCGUGUGCGCGAGCGCCGACGCAGAGCAGGCGAACGCCGCCGAGGUGGCCCGCCUCACGGCCAAGCUGCAACUGAUGUCGCAUCUAUGCCAGCAGGCGCCGGUGCUGUGUCUGCUGCCGCACAGCUUCCAGCGCGCCGCCGGAGACGAGAGCGGCAUGGCUAGCGCUGCUGAUGCAACCGUCCGACGCAAGAAGGGCUUGCCAGGCCGCGCCGCAGCAGGGCCAGCGUCAGCUUACAAGCGCCUUCACGCUCUUCACCGCCUCCCUGCCGUGACGAUGGACUACGUGCUUGCAUGCCUCGCCGUCGGCUACUGCCUCAACCCGCACAGCUGCUUCCUAUUUGACAUGUCGAUCCCCAGCGCGCCGGACAUGCGCCUCUUUCACCACCAGCACGAACAGCGAGGAGGCGGUGGCGCACCCUCGCAGAAAGCCCCGGCACGGCACACGGGGACUCAGCUACGCCUCGACGUCGAGGGAAGCAUCACGCCCGAAGGCAAUGGUGACGAAGCGGGGCAACGGUCGCGCGCUGGUGCUGUGACCGCUGGCAACGGCUGUGUUGGCCAAGCUAGGGCGCCGCCGUACAGGCCGGCGCUUUCAAGCUGGGUGCUGGAGCGCCGUUACAGCAAAACCGACUCGGUGGGUGUGUGCAUAUCGGUCCUAUGGAAGCUUCCCACGCCGCCGGCUGCGGAGGGCGAGAGGUGCUGGUCGCGCGUUGAAGCAGCCUCUCCGUCGGCGACGACUGCCACCAUCGAGCCUCGUCUCACGCCCGAUGCAUCGCUGGUGCCGCUGCUCCGCGUGCUGCUUCUGGGGCUUCGCAACGCGGUCGGGGCCUUGGGCGGCCACGUCGCCGAUACCUUCUCGCCGUCGGCUGUCACGCACGUCGUGUCGGUAGACGUGGGCGGCAUUCUCUCUGGUACUAUCGGCGACGCGUUCACAAGUGACGUGGUGAGUAAAAGGGAUGCCGUGGUUGGCAGCAGUGACGGUGGCAGAUUUUUUCCGUACUGGCCGAUGGAGAGCAUCGAGAGCGUUGCGCGCUGCGCCGCGCGCGACGAGGUGUCGUUGGUGGGCCUCGAGUGGUUGGCAGCGUGCGUCGAAUGGGGCGCUUUCGUGGAUGAGGCGGGGUACGCGCCACCGGCCGACCUGCUCGCGCUCGUGCAGGUGGAGAAGCAGAAGGCUCUGCUUGCCUCCUCCCAGGCCGCUCGCACAGCGGUGCACCGACGAGCUGCACAGGCACAAAGGCCGCCGCCGCCGUGGCAAUCGCCGAACCACUGUCGCCCGAGCGAGCACCGGGGCCAUGUAGCCGCGCCCUCUCCCGCCGAUCCGGCGCCGUCUGGUGCUCUGGAGGCACACGAAGCUAGCCGUGCGCCGCACCUUGAGCAGCACCGCAAGCGGGUGGGGAUCCCGCCACGUGGCGCGUUGGAGUCGGGGGCGCCACACACACCGCCGCAUCCUCGGCUGCUGGACUACGGCCCAACGCCCGACAAAGGCGAUAAAGAAAUGGAAGAGCAUAAGGAGUGUCGCACACCGGUGAUGCGGCGCGUUUCCGGUGCGUCGACGACGUGGUGCGAUAGCGGCGUAGAGCCGUGCACGCCUCCCGUCAGAGACGCACCACCGCCAGGUAACGUCGCGCAACACCGUCAACAGUCUCCGCCGCCACAGCCUCUCUCCUCACCGGUGCCGCCUCCGCCUUGCUCGCAGACCCCGUCCGGCCCCCACUCCACCUCGCAAUCCAUGACCCUUCGUGCUUGCAGUGCCGGGACUCCGUCCGCUGGCGGCCAUGGCCACCACCUUCAGCAUCGCCGUCGCUACUCAUCAUCUGCUUCGCAGCACAACACCCGCUCGCUGCUCGAGCAGCAGGACGCGGAAGCUUACGUGGAGCACCUCGGCAACCUCUUCAACUUCUUCUCCCCAGGAUCCACGCCGCUGCCGUCAUCGGCGCAACGCUGGCGCGAGCGCUCAAUCGCCACGCACGCUGAUCCCGACGCCGGUACCCCGCAGCGACUGUGCAGCCCGCUCCUGCCGCACACUCCCUCGCAGUUACACCCGUCAAAGGUCACCUUUUCCCCUCGUGAGCCUCACCCGCACUGCGAGCGCAUGCGUGAGCGCGGCGCCUCCGGCACGUCAUCUUCGUCGGAGUGCACACAGGUGCUCACUCCAUCAAAGACGGGGGCAACGCUGCAGAUGACGGGAGCGGAGACAACGGGUUCCACGGUCGGUGCCAGCAAUGCCCUCUCAACGCCACGGCGUCGUACACUGCGUGGCGCUGCUGCUGCUGCUGCUGCCACGGCUGCCUACACCUCAUCAGCAACCAAGAACUCAGCCCUUUCAAGCCCCGACAAGCAGCGUCGCUGCACAGAAGAAGUUGCCAUCGGCAUGAAUAGCUCGGUAGCGGACUUGCAGAGGUCGAGGGCACUGGUAGAAGUUGUCAAUGGUCCCUAUGAUGUGGAAUCUGCUGCGCCGGAUGCAAGCGCGCCGCCUCCGCAGCGGUUCAUACUACCGAGCUUGCUAGGCGGAAGCACCGAGCUGAGUCGUGGCGGCACCGUCGAAGCAAAGGCCGAUGGCGUCAGCAGCACCACGACCAUCAGCUGUGAAGAAGCCGAUGCCAAGCAACGACAGCCGCAGGGCGGUGGCUGCACGGGGAGUGUGCGCGGCGCCCAAACACUGGACGAGCUCGCCGAAGGGAUGGGGCCGAGGUCGAUUGGAAUGGCUGCUGGGACUGCGCAGCAGCACCAAGCUCACAAACGUAGCCGUGCAGCUGGAGGGCAGCAGGACGCCAGCCACGCGCGCGUCCACGUGGCGCUGGAUGGGCCAUAUCACAGUGGGCCGGAGGCCUUCUCGUGGAUGCAUGAUGUUAUUCCCGACUCGCAACCGCAGCGGCAGGAUAUCGCGGUGGUGGCGUGCGCAGACGCGGAGCUCAUGAGCGGCGAUGUGCUGGUGCCCACCACCUUUAUCGCGGCAACAGCCGAGGUGUACGCGCCGACUCCUGCUGCGACGGCAGAGACCGCUGCUGGCUCAGGCCAUUGCAAGGACGCAGCCACCCGUCUGCUGGCCGGCGAUCGCGAAGAGGCGGAGCAUAAAGACGGCACGAAAGGCGUGUCUCCUGCACCAGACGUGAUUGACACAGCCACCGGUCUACCCAUUCCCAGGCCACUCACAGCAACAGGGCCGACAACAUCGUUGGAGCACACGGCUGUGCGCCCUCUUCUUGGGUCGUGUAGCGCGCCACGACGGCCCUCUUCGCCCCCGUAUCCGUCGACAACAAUCGUGGCGGAUGCCUAUGAAGGAGCGAGCAUCGUCGCGAACGCGGCCGAGGAGGAACAGCGAUGCGGAGCGCAAUGUGCGCACACCGACAGCAAUGCGCAGGGGCUUUCUCCGUGGUCCCGGCACCGGCCACUGAGCCUGUCACGUCGUCCCUCGCCCUCGCCGGCGCCGGCACCGUCACCGCUGCACACGGAGCCGACGGCCCUCGGCGCCGGUACCGCGGCCGCUGCUCUUCCCCGCGCGACGGUGGCGACAUCGUGCACAUAUGAGUGCCUGCGCAUCUAUGUGUUGCAUGACUUGCCAUACCGAGAAGUGCGUGUGCGCCGAUGCGAGGAGGCUCUCGAAGUCCUGACACGUCGCCGCGACGGGGUGGAGCCGAGACCGCCCAUCGGCGGAGGGCUGCGCACCGCAGAGCCCCCUGUGAAAGGGGGCGACCACUGCGGCAGCGUCGAUGUUGCCUCCGACCCCUCUCUACCUCCCACGGCCACGCAUCCUGCACCGCCUCUCCGCUUUGUUGCUCGCUGCGAGGACGCUGAUGUGGUGGUGACGCACCAAAUCAACCUCCGUGAAAGUGUCCUUGUGGCAGCAGCAGCCGGGUGCUGGGUGGUGCGGCCGGGGUUUCUGGAGUGCGUCGCCGCUGUCCUCAACGGUGCCUGCUGCUGGAGCGACAAGAGCAGAACCACCAGUUUCAUGCAGAAUCCAUGGCCCACGCUGCAGCUGCAGCCGCAACGGCACCUGGCCCUAGCCACGGCUGCCGCGGCGCCGGUGACGGCGGCGAAGAAGACGUCCGCACUCUGCGUGGCGCGCCUGCGCAAGGCCUUGCCUACAUACGAGUGGACCGCGGAGGUGCUGCCACGUGUACCGGCGUCGGGGUGCCCGCCGGAAAACGGCAGCAUGCUCCCGCUGCAGCGGGCGCUGGUGCAGCAGUGUCGUCGGCAACGGCAGAUGCGAGAGCAGGCAGCAGGCGGCAGCGUCGCAAGUGGGGAUGCGGGACAGCCGUUCGCCGCUAGCCGACCACGUCAGCGCCCCUUCGAGGGGAACAGCUUUGUUCUCUUGUCUUCUUUUCCUGCAGUAAAUAUGUUUCGGGCGCGCGGGACGCGAACGACCGAGGUGGGUGUGACGGAUGCGGAGAGCUGCGGCACAUCAUCGCGGGUGCGCGCCAUCGAGCGCAUCUUGGAGACCGGCGGCGGAUGCCUUUGCUGCAGUGUGCAGGUUGGUUCUGCAGCAGCAGACGAGGGGGAGAAGACGGAUGGAAUCACCGACAUUGUCGCCGCAUCCACGCACGUUCCGCCUGCCGCGCAACAGCGACUGCGGUGCUGCGUAUGUGCGCCAUCACUGCACGGGCAGGGCUAUGAGCCGCCGCGGCGCGGCCUCGCCUACACUUCCGCAGCGGUGGUGAUGGACGCGGCGCUCUACCAUGACCUCCUGUGGCUCAUUUGCUACCAGGUACACCGGAAGCCUUCUGAGACACUGUACGUGUUGCUCGAUGGAAGCCUCCUCGGCACUAGUGCAGACGACGAUCAUGCCGGCACCGUCGUGUACGUGUCACCGGCGCCACACACGGCUGUCACCGCUGGUGCUGCCGCUGCCGCUGGCGCGGGUCGCAAUGGCGAAGAGGCGGACAGCGCACGCCUGUUGGCCACGUCGUCCCUCUCCGAGCACGACCGCAUUUAUAAGAAGCGGCGCACCGAGGAUGUGGAGGCGCACAACAGUACCCAGCCAACUGCGGAGCCGGCAUCAGAGGCGGCGACCGUCGCAGCCGGUGCAUUUGCGGUCCCCACCACCUGCACGGUGGCGGCGUGGAUCUCUAGCUGGCUGCUCGCCUCCCCAAACGAUAGCAGUUUCUCAAAAGCGGGCGAUGGGCCACCACCGUGUCGCCGCGGCUAUGCGCCAGCUGCUGCGCAAGCGAUGCGAGGUCAUCUUUGUGCUUGCUGCGCGGCAGUGAGCGCGGUCGACGAUGAUGUGCGUGUGCCAAGCAGCGCCAGAGUGUCAUAUAACGUGGCGGAUGUUCCGUUUGCUGUGCCCUCCGUUCAAGAAGUGCAUCAGGCUUGCAUCGAUGUAGGUGGUGACACGAAGGCCGGGUCUCCGAUGUCUGCAAGCCGCGUAGCUGUCCGUCGUAUAGAGUUCCGAAGCACGGGCUGGGUCGGCGCUUGCGUGGCCGCGGGUGGUGCCGCUGUGAUGGCCGCCGCCACUGACGGUUGGAUGAGGGAGUGUGAGGCGCACACCCUCUGGGGAACCCUUUUCCUGGAAUGAUGCUGCUGCGAGAACUGCGACGAGGCGCGCGCACCUCCACACUUUUUUUUUCGCGGCAGUGCCGUUUUCGCAAGAGCUUU
Molecule: unclassified non-coding RNA, 9859 nt
Filed under: Leishmania donovani
Lineage: Eukaryota; Euglenozoa; Kinetoplastea; Trypanosomatida; Trypanosomatidae
Description: gene:LdHU3.26.1500(CDS-product:hypothetical_prote in_conserved)
Source: RNAcentral